AUGAUAGAUGAGCUCCUGGAUGAAUUACAUGGUGCUCAAUGGUUUACAAAACUGGAUCUCAGGGCUGGUUAUCAUCAAAUUAGAUUAGCUCCUGGAGAGGAAUACAAGACAGCAUUUCAAACCCACCAUGGGCACUUUGAGUUCCUGGUUGUUGGUUUUGGUUUGACAGGGGCACCUAACACUUUCCAAGGUGCCAUCAAUGUUUCCCUGUCACAAGAACCUGAGAUGCUGAGAACUUUUGUGAUGGCCUUCUUUGAUGAUAUUCUGAUUUUCAGUAAAACACUGAGCAGCACUUGGAUCAUGUUAGAAGGGUGUUGGAAGUACUCAGCAAGGACACGUGGUAUGUGA
Molecule: ribosomal RNA, 348 nt
Filed under: Triticum aestivum (bread wheat)
Lineage: Eukaryota; Viridiplantae; Streptophyta; Magnoliopsida; Poales; Poaceae
Description: partial small subunit ribosomal RNA
Source: RNAcentral